UUUACAAAAAAAUUAGUGUUA
RNAcentral lists this non-coding RNA (21 nucleotides) under Caenorhabditis elegans. Lineage: Eukaryota; Metazoa; Nematoda; Chromadorea; Rhabditida; Rhabditidae. The record is from RNAcentral.